AAAUAUAAGAGGUCCAGCCUGCCCAGUGACAAAGUUCAACGGCCACGGUACCCUGACCGCGCGAAGGUAGCAUAAUCACUUGUUCUUUAAAUAAGGACUCGUAUCAACGGCAUCACGAGGGUUAUACUGUCUCCUUUUUCUAAUCAGUGAAACUAAUCUCCCCGUGAAGAAGCAGGGAUACUACUAUAAGACGAGAAGACCCCAUGGAGCUUUAAACCCAACUACACCCCUAUUCUCCAUAACUACUUAACUAAAAGGAUACUGUAUGCUUGGUUUUAGGUUGGGGCGACCACGGAGUAAAAACCAACCUCCAUGAUGAACGGACCUACUCCCUUAUCUAAGAGCCACUCCUCUAAGAAUUAGUACACUAACAUAAAAUGAUCCUUUUCUUGAUCAACGAACCAAGUUACCCUGGGGAUAACAGCGCAAUCCAUUUCAAGAGCCCAUAUCGACAAAUGGGUUUACGACCUCGAUGUUGGAUCAGGAUAUCCCAGUGGUGUAGCAGCUACUAAUGGUUCGUUUGUUCAACGAUUAAAAUCCU
RNAcentral lists this ribosomal RNA (541 nucleotides) under Mantidactylus lugubris. Its description in RNAcentral is "partial 16S ribosomal RNA". It matches the Rfam family "Bacterial large subunit ribosomal RNA", at positions 1841 to 2597 of the family's 2925-position model. The record is from RNAcentral. Lineage: Eukaryota; Metazoa; Chordata; Amphibia; Anura; Mantellidae.